CCCUUAGAUGUUCUGGGCCGCACGCGCGCUACACUGAUUCAUGCAACAAGUUUUGUCCUUGGCUGAUAGGCCUGGGUAAUCUUUGAACGUGAAUCGUGAUGGGGAUAGAUGAUUGCAAUUAUUCAUCUUCAACGAGGAAUUCCUAGUAAACGCAAGUCAUCAGCUUGCAUUGAUUACGUCCCUGCCCUUUGUACACACCGCCCGUCGCACCUACCGAUUGAAUGGUCCGGUGAAAUCUUCGGAUCUGAGAGAUGUCUGAUUAAUUUCGGAUGCCUUUUGGAAAAGUUGUUUAAACCUUACCAUUUAGAGGAAGGUGAAGUCGUAACA
This 327-nucleotide ribosomal RNA is filed under the name uncultured eukaryote. RNAcentral's name for it is "partial 18S ribosomal RNA". It matches the Rfam family "Eukaryotic small subunit ribosomal RNA", at positions 1470 to 1796 of the family's 1831-position model. The record is from RNAcentral.